This 983-nucleotide ribosomal RNA is filed under the name uncultured organism. RNAcentral describes it as "bacterial SSU rRNA". It matches the Rfam family "Bacterial small subunit ribosomal RNA", at positions 18 to 1019 of the family's 1533-position model. The record is from RNAcentral.
CCUGGCUCAGGAUGAACGCUGGCGGCGUGCCUAAUACAUGCAAGUCGAGCGAUGAGGCUCCUUCGGGAGUACAUCAGCGGCGAACGGGUGAGUAACACGUGGGUGACUUGCCCCGAAGAUGGGGAUAACCUCUGGAAACGGGGGCUAAUACCCAAUGUGCUCGGUGAUUCGGUUCAUCGAGUAAAGCUCCGGCGCUUCGGGAGAGGCCUGCGGCCCAUCAGCUAGUUGGUAGGGUAACGGCCUACCAAGGCAGAGACGGGUAGGGGGCGUGAGAGCGCGGACCCCCACACUGGCACUGAGAUACGGGCCAGACUCCUACGGGAGGCAGCAGUAAGGGAUAUUGCGCAAUGGACGAAAGUCAGACGCAGCGACGCCGCGUGGGCGAUGAAGGCCUUCGGGUUGUAAAGCCCUUUUAUGGGGGAAGAGAAAAAGGACGGUACCCCAGGAAUAAGUCCCGGCUAACUACGUGCCAGCAGCCGCGGUAAAACGUAGGGGACAAGCGUUAUCCGGAUUCACUGGGCGUAAAGAGCGUUGAGGCGGUUCCGUAAGUUGGGCGUGAAAGCUCCGGGCUUAACUCGGAGAUGUCGUUCAAUACUGCGGGGCUUGAGGACAGCAGAGGAAGGUGGAAUUCCCGGUGUAGUGGUGAAAUGCGUAGAUAUCGGGAGGAACACCCGUGGCGAAGGCGGCCUUCUGGGCUGUUCCUGACGCUGAAGGCGAAAGCUAGGGGAGCGAACGGGAUUAGAUACCCCGGUAGUCCUAGCUGUAAACGAUGGAUGCUGGGUGUGGGGGGUGUAAAUUCCCUCUGUGCCGAAGCAAACGCGUUAAGCAUCCCGCCUGGGGACUACGGCCGCAAGGCUAAAACUCAAACGAAUUGACGGGGGCCCGCACAAGCAGCGGAGCGUGUGGUUUAAUUCGAUGCUACACGAAGAACCUUACCUGGGUUUGACAUGCACGUGGUAGGGAACCGAAAGGGGACUGACCUU